Molecule: ribosomal RNA, 199 nt
Filed under: uncultured bacterium
Lineage: Bacteria
Description: partial 16S ribosomal RNA
Rfam family: Bacterial small subunit ribosomal RNA
Source: RNAcentral
CGGACUAAUACCGCAUGAAGCAGGGGCCCCCGGCAUGGGGAUAUUUGCUAAAGAUUCAUCGCUGAUAGAUAGGCAUGCGCUCCAUUAGGCAGUUGGCGGGGUAACGGCCCACCAAACCGACGAUGGAUAGGGGUUCUGAGAGGAAGGUCCCCCACAUUGGUACUGAGACACGGACCAAACUCCUACGGGAGGCAGCAUG